This 253-nucleotide ribosomal RNA is filed under the name uncultured bacterium. Its description in RNAcentral is "partial 16S ribosomal RNA". It matches the Rfam family "Bacterial small subunit ribosomal RNA", at positions 524 to 776 of the family's 1533-position model. The record is from RNAcentral.
UACGGGGGGGGCAAGCGUUGUUCGGAAUUACUGGGCGUAAAGGGCUCGUAGGCGGCCAACUAAGUCGGAUGUGAAAUCCCCAGGCUUAACCUGGGAAUUGCAUCCGAUACUGGAUGGCUUGAAUCCGGGAGAGGGAUGCAGAAUUCCAGGUGUAGCGGUGAAAUGCGUAGAUAUCAGGAGGAACACCGGUGGCGAAGGCGGGUCUCUGGGCAAUAACUGACGCUGAGGAGCGAAAGCGUGGGGAGCGAACAGG